Non-coding RNA from Pelobates cultripes (western spadefoot toad), 185 nucleotides. The record is from the annotation of a GenBank genome assembly. NCBI's taxonomy places the organism in Eukaryota, Metazoa, Chordata, Amphibia, Anura, Pelobatidae.
UCCAGCGCACUCACCUAUCCACUAAACAGCAACUUCAAUGUUGACAGAUUUUAUUUGUUUUUUUUUUAAAAACACCUAAUGUAGGCAAAAAUAAUGGGGGUUUAGUUACAUUAUAUGAUCAUACAUAGCAAAUAAAAUCUGUUAACAUUAAAGUUGCUGUUUAGUGGAUAGGUGAGUGCGCUGGA